GAUCAUCUACGGACUGAGCGACCCCCUCAACCCUCUCAUCUGGAUACACGGAUGGGCCUGAAAAAAUUGUCAUACUCAUGUGGCCAAUUGGUACCCGAUGAUGUCAUCUGGGUAAUGUAGGAAGAAGGCAUUGCCAUCUGUGGAUCUAAAGGUGGUGGCAUCUGUGUAGCAUGUAGUGAUGACAUCUGCGGAAUAUGCGGUGAUGGCAUAUAUAGAACAUAUGG
This 224-nucleotide long non-coding RNA is filed under the name Elaeis guineensis (African oil palm). Its description in RNAcentral is "long non-coding RNA (EGUI_LNC030056)". The record is from RNAcentral. Lineage: Eukaryota; Viridiplantae; Streptophyta; Magnoliopsida; Arecales; Arecaceae.